CCUACGGGAGGCAGCAGUGAGGAAUAUUGGUCAAUGGGCGCGAGCCUGAACCAGCCAAGUCGCGUGAAGGAUGACUGCCCUACGGGUUGUAAACUUCUUUUAUAAAGGAAUAAAGUGAGACACGUGUGCCUUUUUGUAUGUAUUUUAUGAAUAAGGAUCGGCUAACUCCGUGUCAGCAGCCGCGGUAAUACGGAGGAUCCGAGCGUUAGCCGGAUUUAUUGGGUUUAAAGGGAGCGUAGAUGGGUUGUUAAGUCAGUUGUGAAAGUUUGCGGCUCAACCGUAAAAUUGCAAUUGAUACUGGCAGCCUUGAGUACAGUUGAGGUAGGCGGAAUUCGUGGUGUAGCGGUGAAAUGCUUAGAUAUCACGAAGAACUCCGAUUGCGAAGGCAGCUUACUAAACUGCCACUGACAUUGAGGCACGAAAGUGUGGGGAUCAAACAGGAUUAGAUACCCUGGUAGUC
This 460-nucleotide ribosomal RNA is filed under the name uncultured bacterium. RNAcentral's name for it is "partial 16S ribosomal RNA". It matches the Rfam family "Bacterial small subunit ribosomal RNA", at positions 338 to 795 of the family's 1533-position model. The record is from RNAcentral.